ACUCCUACGGGAGGCAGCAGUGGGAAUCUUAGACAAUGGGGAAAGCCAUCGAUCUAGCCAUGCCGCGUGAGCGAUGAAGGCCUUAGGGUUGUAAAGCUUCUUUCAGCUAGGGAAGAUUAAUGACGGUGACCAGCAGAAGAAGCCCCGGCUAACUCCGUGCCAGCAGCCGCGGUAAUACGGAGGGGCUAGCGUUGUUCGGAAUUACUGGGCGUAAAGCGCACGUAGGCGGAUUGUAAGUUGGGGGUGAAAUCCCGGGGCUC
Molecule: ribosomal RNA, 260 nt
Filed under: uncultured bacterium
Lineage: Bacteria
Description: partial 16S ribosomal RNA
Rfam family: Bacterial small subunit ribosomal RNA
Source: RNAcentral